Molecule: ribosomal RNA, 496 nt
Filed under: Kodamaea ohmeri
Lineage: Eukaryota; Fungi; Ascomycota; Pichiomycetes; Serinales; Debaryomycetaceae
Description: partial large subunit ribosomal RNA
Rfam family: Eukaryotic large subunit ribosomal RNA
Source: RNAcentral
GCAUAUCAAUAAGCGGAGGAAAAGAAACCAACAGGGAUUGCCUCAGUAACGGCGAGUGAAGCGGCAAAAGCUCAAAUUUGAAAUCCCCCCGGGGAGUUGUAAUUUGAAGAUUGCGUCUUGGAGGCGACCGUGUCUAUGUUCCUUGGAACAGGACGUCACAGAGGGUGAGAAUCCCGUGCGGCACGGCCCCCGGCUCCUUAUAAGGCGCUCUCGACGAGUCGAGUUGUUUGGGAAUGCAGCUCAAAGUGGGUGGUAAAUUCCAUCUAAAGCUAAAUACAGGCGAGAGACCGAUAGCGAACAAGUACAGUGAUGGAAAGAUGAAAAGCACUUUGAAAAGAGAGUGAAACAGCACGUGAAAUUGUUGAAAGGGAAGGGCAUGCCGUCAGAUUGUCAGUGUGGGUAAGAAGCGGGGUACAAAGACUGUGGAACGUGGCCCUCGGGUGUUAUAGCCGCAGUUCAUGCCCCGUCUCUUUCCGAGGCCUGCUUGAGACACCGA